CGCAAGCCUGACGGAGCAAGACCGCGUGCGGGAUGACGGCUUAAUGGUUGUAAACCGCUUUUCUCUGGGAAGAUGAUGACGGUACCAGAGGAAUCAGCCUCGGCUAACUCCGUGCCAGCAGCCGCGUUAAUACGGAGGAGGCAAGCGUUAUCCGGAAUUAUUGGGCGUAAAGCGUCCGUAGGUGGUUAUUCAAGUCUGCUGUCAAAGCGUGGGGCUUAACUCCAUAGAGGCAGUGGAAACUGGAUGACUUGAGUGCGGUAGGGGUCGAGGGAAUUCCCAGUGUAGCGGUGAAAUGCGUAGAUAUUGGGAAGAACACCAGUGGCGAAAGCGCUCGACUGGGCCUGCACUGACACUGAGGGACGAAAGCUAGGGGAGCG
RNAcentral lists this ribosomal RNA (377 nucleotides) under uncultured cyanobacterium. RNAcentral's name for it is "bacterial SSU rRNA". It matches the Rfam family "Bacterial small subunit ribosomal RNA", at positions 376 to 770 of the family's 1533-position model. Lineage: Bacteria; Bacillati; Cyanobacteriota. The record is from RNAcentral.